This is a long non-coding RNA of Drosophila subpulchrella, 818 nucleotides long. RefSeq lists it as uncharacterized. NCBI's taxonomy places the organism in Eukaryota, Metazoa, Arthropoda, Insecta, Diptera, Drosophilidae. The transcript is spliced from 3 exons. The record is from RefSeq and is a predicted model, not a curated record.
CUACAAUCGGAUAUCCUGUUGGCUUCGCGUGGCUGCAGCAUUUUGGAUCCUUUAAAACAUGUUAAGAAAAAAUUCACUUAUAGAUGUGUUUCAGAAAGAAAGCUAUCUUAUAUCCGAUAGUUUCAAGAUAUGUAUUUUAAAGGAAACCGUUUUACAAUAAAUAGUGAUAAAUAAAACCCUAAUUACACCUUCACAUAAAUGCGUAAGACACCAAAGCGAGUUUUGAAAUCGAUUAAAACUAUGAGAAACCGCACGUCUGUCCGUUGAAACGAAAGUCAGAGAACUGAUUUCACUGGCACAAUAAAAGACUCAUCCGGUUGUUGCUUUGUAUUCAAGCUUCACGAAGGUGGUUUGGCUGGUUUAACCAACUAACCGAUAGUUCCCAUUUAACAAUUAAUAAAACUUAUACACCACCCUAUAAAUAAAUAAAGGAAGCUUCAAUAGCUUCAAAUCUACUAAUUAUCACGAAUAUGUGUGGACUUUGAGAGAUUUGGCGGUUUGGAUGUCAUUGGGACAACCCAAUACUGGACCCGGAAUGGAUCAAAUGGGAACACUGGCCUCAACACAUCCCCAAUAUUGAGGAAGUGUGCAAUACUACGUUCGCACUCCAAUAAACUGCACUUUUAAUUCAGCACCAGUCUCGUCGGUUUUCGUGAGUGAUGUCGUUGGCCAGCCUUUUGAUUCCUGCCAUUCGAUAAGCCAAUGGCUUCCGCCUCUGAAGUCCAGUGUGCGGGUUCACUUCGUAGCCUCAUCUGCUACAUUUUGGGAGGUAGGAACCCAAAGCUGCGGUGUAUGGCGAUAGUGAUUAGAACGCUGGA